ACGACAGGAGUGCAUGUGAUGAUCGUGCUAUAAUUACGUCGCCUGUGUAGUUUCGAUCCUGGUAUCAGAACUGCAACGUCUGACCGGUAGGGCUUACACAUGCAAGUCUGAACCAUCCUUCGGGAUAGUGGCAGACCGGGUACUUAACGCGUGGCAACCUUCCCUAUGGUACGGAAUACCUCCGGGAAACUGGAAUUAAUACCGUAUACGCCCUUCCAGGGAAAGAUUUAUCGCCAUAGGAUGGGCCCGCGUUGGAUUAGCUUGUUGGUGAGGUAUCGGCUCUCCAAGGCGACUGAUCCAUAGCUGGUCUUAGAGGAUGAUCAGCCACGCUGGGGUUAAACACGGGCCAGUCUCCUACGGGAGGCAGCAGUGGGGAAUAUUGGCCAAUGGGCGCAAGCCUGAUCCAGCCAUACCGCGUGAGUGUACGAAGGCCUUAGGGUUGUAAAGCUCUUUUGGCGGGGUACGAUAAUGACUGGUAGUCGCAGAAUAAGCGCCGGCUAACUUCGUGCCAGCAUACCGCGGUAAUCGAAGGGGCGCUAGCGUUGUUCGGAGAUCACUGGGCGUAAAGCGCACGUAGGCUGACUGGUCAGUUGGGGGUAAAAUCCCGGGUGCUCACACCUCGCAGCGUGCCUUCAAUACUGCCAGUCUUGAGUCCGAGAGAGGUGAGUGGAAUUCCUAGUGUAUAGGUGAAAUUCGUAGAUAUUAGGAGGACCUCCAGUGGCGAAGGCGGCUCACUGGCUCGAUACUGUCCCUUAGGUGCGAAAGUGUGGGGAGCAAACAGGAUUAGAUACCCUGGUAGUC
RNAcentral lists this ribosomal RNA (801 nucleotides) under uncultured Alphaproteobacteria bacterium. Its description in RNAcentral is "bacterial SSU rRNA". It matches the Rfam family "Bacterial small subunit ribosomal RNA", at positions 1 to 795 of the family's 1533-position model. The record is from RNAcentral. Lineage: Bacteria; Pseudomonadati; Pseudomonadota; Alphaproteobacteria.